Molecule: ribosomal RNA, 868 nt
Filed under: uncultured Psychrobacter sp.
Lineage: Bacteria; Pseudomonadati; Pseudomonadota; Gammaproteobacteria; Moraxellales; Moraxellaceae
Description: bacterial SSU rRNA
Rfam family: Bacterial small subunit ribosomal RNA
Source: RNAcentral
GGUAAAGGCCUACCAUGGCGACGAUCUGUAGCUGGUCUGAGAGGAUGAUCAGCCACACCGGGACUGAGACACGGCCCGGACUCCUACGGGAGGCAGCAGUGGGGAAUAUUGGACAAUGGGGGCAACCCUGAUCCAGCCAUGCCGCGUGUGUGAAGAAGGCCUUUUGGUUGUAAAGCACUUUAAGCAGUGAAGAAGACUCCGUGGUUAAUACCCACGGACGAUGACAUUAGCUGCAGAAUAAGCACCGGCUAACUCUGUGCCAGCAGCCGCGGUAAUACAGAGGGUGCAAGCGUUAAUCGGAAUUACUGGGCGUAAAGGGAGCGUAGGUGGCUCUAUAAGUCAGAUGUGAAAUCCCCGGGCUCAACCUGGGAACUGCAUCUGAAACUGUAGAGCUGGAGUAUGUGAGAGGAAGGUAGAAUUCCAGGUGUAGCGGUGAAAUGCGUAGAGAUCUGGAGGAAUACCGAUGGCGAAGGCAGCCUUCUGGCAUAAUACUGACACUGAGGCUCGAAAGCGUGGGUAGCAAACAGGAUUAGAUACCCUGGUAGUCCACGCCGUAAACGAUGUCUACUAGUCGUUGGGUCCCUUGAGGACUUAGUGACGCAGCUAACGCAAUAAGUAGACCGCCUGGGGAGUACGGCCGCAAGGUUAAAACUCAAAUGAAUUGACGGGGGCCCGCACAAGCGGUGGAGCAUGUGGUUUAAUUCGAUGCACGCGAGAUCUUACUGAUCUGACAUAUCUAGAUCUGCAGAGAUGCGGAGUGCAUCGGGAUAGAUACAGUGCUGCAUGGCUGUCGUCAGCUCGUUCUGAAUGUAGUUAGUCCGCCACGAGGGCAUCUGGUCUAGUACAGCGGUUAGCGGACUCUAGAACG